Molecule: ribosomal RNA, 495 nt
Filed under: uncultured bacterium
Lineage: Bacteria
Description: partial 16S ribosomal RNA
Rfam family: Bacterial small subunit ribosomal RNA
Source: RNAcentral
GACGAACGCUGGCGGCGUGCCUAAUACAUGCAAGUAGAACGCUGAAGGAGGAGCUUGCUUCUCUGGAUGAGUUGCGAACGGGUGAGUAACGCGUAGGUAACCUGCCUGGUAGCGGGGGAUAACUAUUGGAAACGAUAGCUAAUACCGCAUAAUAUUGACUAUUGCAUGAUAGUCAGUUGAAAGGUGCAACUGCACCACUACCAGAUGGACCUGCGUUGUAUUAGCUAGUUGGUGGGGUAACGGCUCACCAAGGCGACGAUACAUAGCCGACCUGAGAGGGUGAUCGGCCACACUGGGACUGAGACACGGCCCAGACUCCUACGGGAGGCAGCAGUAGGGAAUCUUCGGCAAUGGACGGAAGUCUGACCGAGCAACGCCGCGGGAGUGAAGAAGGUUUUCGGAUCGUAAAGCUCUGUUGUAAGAGAAGAACGAGUGUGAGAGUGGAAAGCUCACACUGUGACGGUAUCUUACCAGAAAGGGACGGCUAACUACGUG